GAUGAACGCUGGCGGCGUGCCUAAUACAUGCAGGUCGAGCGAACAGACGAGGAGCUUGCUCCUCUGACGUUAGCGGCGGACGGGUGAGUAACACGUGGAUAACCUACCUAUAAGACUGGGAUAACUUCGGGAAACCGGAGCUAAUACCGGAUAAUAUAUUGAACCGCAUGGUUCAAUAGUGAAAGACGGUUUUGCUGUCACUUAUAGAUGGAUCCGCGCCGCAUUAGCUAGUUGGUAAGGUAACGGCUUACCAAGGCGACGAUGCGUAGCCGACCUGAGAGGGUGAUCGGCCACACUGGAACUGAGACACGGUCCAGACUCCUACGGGAGGCAGCAGUAGGGAAUCUUCCGCAAUGGGCGAAAGCCUGACGGAGCAACGCCGCGUGAGUGAUGAAGGUCUUCGGAUCGUAAAACUCUGUUAUUAGGGAAGAGCAAAUGUGUAAGUAACUAUGCACGUCUUGACGGUACCUAAUCAGAAAGCCACGGCUAACUACGUG
Molecule: ribosomal RNA, 497 nt
Filed under: uncultured bacterium
Lineage: Bacteria
Description: partial 16S ribosomal RNA
Rfam family: Bacterial small subunit ribosomal RNA
Source: RNAcentral